AUACGUAGGGGGCGAGCGUUGUCCGGAAUGAUUGGGCGUAAAGGGCGCGUAGGCGGCCCGGUAAGUCUGGAGUGAAAGUCCUGUUUUUAAGAUGGGAAUUGCUUUGGAUACUGUCGGGCUUGAGUGCAGGAGAGGUAAGUGGAAUUCCCAGUGUAGCGGUGAAAUGCGUAGAGAUUGGGAGGAACAACAGUGGCGAAGGCGACUUACUGGACUGUAACUGACGCUGAGGCGCGAAAGUGUGGGGAGCAAACAGGAUUAGAUACCCUGGUAGUCCACACUGUAAACGAUGAAUGCUAGGUGUAGGGGGUAUCGACCCCUUCUGUGCCGCAGUCAACACAAUAAGCAUUCCGCCUGGGGAGUACGGCCGCAAGGUUGAAACUCAAAUGAAUUGACGGGG
Molecule: ribosomal RNA, 397 nt
Filed under: uncultured bacterium
Lineage: Bacteria
Description: partial 16S ribosomal RNA
Rfam family: Bacterial small subunit ribosomal RNA
Source: RNAcentral